RNAcentral lists this ribosomal RNA (370 nucleotides) under uncultured microorganism. RNAcentral's name for it is "bacterial SSU rRNA". It matches the Rfam family "Archaeal small subunit ribosomal RNA", at positions 330 to 700 of the family's 1478-position model. The record is from RNAcentral.
GUGCAGCAGGCGCGAAACCUUCGCAAUGCGGGAAACCGCGACGAGGGGACUCCCAGUGCCUACGCUCAGCGUAGGCUGUUCCCGAGCCUAGAAAGCUCGGGGAGUAAGGGCUGGGUAAGACGGGUGCCAGCCGCCGCGGUAAUACCCGCAGCCCGAGUGGUGGCCACUAUUAUUGGGCCUAAAGCGUCCGUAGCCGGCCCGGUAAAUGCCUGGGUAAAUCGUGAGGCCGUAACCUCACGAAUUCCGGGUAGACUGCCGGGCUAGGGACCGGAGGAGGGAGAGGGUACUCCAGGGGUAGGGGUGAAAAUCCUGUAAUCCCUGGAGGACCACCGGUGGCGAAGGCGCUCUCCUAGGACGGGUCCGACGGUGA